RNAcentral lists this ribosomal RNA (253 nucleotides) under uncultured bacterium. RNAcentral's name for it is "partial 16S ribosomal RNA". It matches the Rfam family "Bacterial small subunit ribosomal RNA", at positions 524 to 776 of the family's 1533-position model. The record is from RNAcentral.
UACGUAGGGGGCAAGCGUUGUCCGGAAUCAUUGGGCGUAAAGAGCGUGUAGGCGGCCAGAUAAGUCCGCUGUGAAAUCUCGAGGCUCAACUUCGAGCUGUCGGUGGAAACUGUCUGGCUAGAGUGCGGUAGGGGAGAUUGGAAUUCCUGGUGUAGCGGUGGAAUGCGCAGAUAUCAGGAGGAACACCGAUGGCGAAGGCAGAUCUCUGGGCCGUAACUGACGCUGAGGAGCGAAAGCAUGGGGAGCGAACAGG